GCUGCUGUUGUUGGAUCCAUCACUUUUCUACUCCUGAUUGCUUUAUUUUUGUCUGCCUUCAUCAUUUUUAGAAGAAAGAUGGCUUCAAGGCGAACUUCUGAGACCAAAGAAAGACCAGGAGACGGGACGAAGAGCUCUGGUCAGAAUUCAGGUGGUCAGCUGGAGACUCCGUCAACUGCAGCAGUCGGAAAUUCAACAGAUCAAGAUGACAUCCACUAUGCUAGUGUACAAUUCUCUAAAAAACAAGAGGACCCGGUCUACUCCAACUUUAUGCCAGCCAAACCCAAAACGCAUCAAAAUGAGGAGGACGUAGAGGUGGAGUAUUCAAUGGUCAUGAUAAAGAACACUCCUUGUCUGAGACGUCCUGGUGGUUCUGAGGAUUCAGAUGCACUGUACAGCACAGUCAACAAAUUAUAAACGACAGUCCAUCCGUGACUACUGUUCAAUAUUUCCUCCACUCGUAGAUGUUUCCUAUUCAGUUGAUCAGAAAGCAAAUGUGAAAGUAGAUUAUCCCACGACACACGAGGUAAGACGGUUGCAUCUACACUGCUCCAGUUUACGUACUCUCACCAGAGACUCUGGUUCACUUCGCCAGUACCAGGACAGGGCCCAUUGAACAGAUUUACCUAAAUCAUUUGUGGCAUAACCUUUACAAGGCAUCAGAAUAUUCCUCAGAGAUUCUGAUCCAUGAUGACAUCACACGGUUCCUGCAGAUUGGUUGGUUGUGCAUCCAUGAUGUAAAUCUCUUGUUCUACCAGAGCUGGUGAGGGUGGAGACCAUCAUGGCUAAACCAUUGUCAUGUCUGACAAACCAGUUUAAUUUGAUGAGUGAACUGGUGCAUCAUUGUACUGGAAGUGCCCAUUACAACAUGGGUACACAGUGGUCAUAGAGGGAUGGACAUGGUCGAUAGCAAUACUCAGGUUGUCUGUGAAAGCAGUGCUAAGGGGCCCAAAUGUGUCGAGAGGCUAACAGCUACUCCAUUUCAUCAGCAGCCUCAGCUGUUGAUGUCAGGCAGGAUAGAUCCACGCUUUCAUGUUGUGUACACCGAACUCUGAACCUACCAUCUGAAUGUUACCACUGGAAUUGGACAUCUUUGAACCAGGCAGCAUUUUUCCAAUUUGUUGAAUUUUUGUUUUAAUUUGGUGAUUGUGUACUGUUGAAUUAAAUCCCUAGCCUUAGUUUCCCGUUUUUAGCUGGGGUAGAACCCAGUGUGAUCUUGUACCACGUGCAGAAAUCCUACUCUGCAUACUUUGGUUGUAACAGGUUGUCAGCUACUAUUGCCAUCUAUCGUCUCGAACCAGCCUGCCUUAUCUCCUGUGUUCUCAGAAGUCAACAAUGCAUUUUCAUUCACCCAAAAACUGCUCGCUUGAUCCCCUUUUAAGUUCACCAAGCUGCUGCUGUGUGAUUGGCUAAGUUACUAUUUGUGUUGAGAAAAACAUCUACAGGUGUAUCUAAUACAGAGGCCAGCGAAUGAGACAUGUUACAAACUGCACUGAUUUCUUUCUGUACAGUUUUAUCUUUGUAGCUGUUUAUGUGCAAUGACUUGAUUGUUUUGUUAAGCUGUUUAAUAAAUUCUUUGAUU
Molecule: long non-coding RNA, 1582 nt
Organism: Fundulus heteroclitus (mummichog)
Lineage: Eukaryota; Metazoa; Chordata; Actinopteri; Cyprinodontiformes; Fundulidae
Exons: 4
Source: RefSeq, a predicted model, not a curated record